RNAcentral lists this ribosomal RNA (253 nucleotides) under uncultured bacterium. RNAcentral describes it as "partial 16S ribosomal RNA". It matches the Rfam family "Bacterial small subunit ribosomal RNA", at positions 524 to 776 of the family's 1533-position model. The record is from RNAcentral.
UACGUAGGGUGCGAGCGUUAAUCGGAAUUACUGGGCGUAAAGCGCACGCAGGCGGUUGGUUAAGUCAGAUGUGAAAGCCCCGGGCUCAACCUGGGAAUUGCAUUUGAAACUGGCCAACUAGAGUACGUGAGAGGGGGGUAGAAUUCCAAGUGUAGCGGUGAAAUGCGUAGAGAUUUGGAGGAAUACCAGUGGCGAAGGCGGCCCCCUGGCACAACACUGACGCUCAGGUGCGAAAGCGUGGGGAGCAAACAGG